This 196-nucleotide ribosomal RNA is filed under the name uncultured eukaryote. RNAcentral's name for it is "partial 18S ribosomal RNA". It matches the Rfam family "Eukaryotic small subunit ribosomal RNA", at positions 1208 to 1404 of the family's 1831-position model. The record is from RNAcentral.
UGAAAUCUCAACAGGCCCGGACACUGGAAGGAUUGACAGAUUGAUAGCUCUUUCUUGAUUCGGUGCGUGGUGGUGCAUGGCCGUUCUUAGUUGGUUGAGUGAUUUGUCGGCUUAAUUUGACUCAACACGGGAAAUCUCACCAGGCCCGGACACUGGAAGGAUUGACAGAUUGAUAGCUCUUUCUUGUUAGCAAUAA